GCGAGUAUAACUCUCUAAAACCAUUGUGAACGAACGAACCCGUUGCUUCGGCUGGACGGCUCUGCUGCCGCCGGAAGAACGCAAACUCUUGUUAUUAUUGUUUCUCUGAGUACUUAUUCAAUAAGUAA
Molecule: unclassified non-coding RNA, 128 nt
Filed under: soil metagenome
Description: partial internal transcribed spacer 1
Source: RNAcentral